This is a long non-coding RNA of Lotus japonicus, 2219 nucleotides long. RefSeq lists it as uncharacterized. The record is from RefSeq and is a predicted model, not a curated record. NCBI's taxonomy places the organism in Eukaryota, Viridiplantae, Streptophyta, Magnoliopsida, Fabales, Fabaceae. The transcript has 3 exons.
AUUCGUACCCAUUUACAAAAUAUCUUCCUAAAAUAUCUAUUUCACCAUCCAUAUCCUCACACUCGACCUUAUCUCUCCCUCUGUCAUGUUCACACUUUCCUUCUCAUCCAUUUACGUCCCUUUCUUCCAAUCUUUCCCACAACUAGCUACAUAUUUUUCCUUUCCCCUACACACUUAUAGCACCAUCAGACAAGGCACAAAACAAAAACACUCUCCUUUCCUACUUUACGUAGCCUUCAUUCUCUUCAUCACCCUGAGCAGCACAAAAUCUCAUCAUCAUUUUAUUUCCUCAUGACCAACUAGCGAGCACCUUGUGCCUCCUUCCUCACCACCAUGAAACCACUGUGGUUUCACCUUCUUCAUUUUCGCUGGUCACCAACGACAUCCACCAUCUCCUUCCUUUCUCAUGGCUGAACACACCACCAUGUUCUCCUUUUCUUCUUGCCAUGAGACAGCUACCACCGCCCCUGUUUCUCUCCAUGGAAGCACCACUUCACCAUCCACCAUGAACACAACACGCGCGCACCACCAUGGCCAGCCACCACCUUGGUUCUCUCUUCACCCACGCGAGGCACAAGCCACCACCAUCCCUCCUUCGCCAUGGCUGCAAUGUCACGAGUCCCUCGGUUCAGCAAGCACCACGACGCGUGCUUCUUUCUCUGUUUCUGCACCCACGGACUCCACCUCUGUUUCCGGCGAGAAAAGCCACCAAUCAAUGAGCCCAACGACGCCACAACACCACCGCAUCACCGUUGGAAGCCACCACGGCCAACAUGAACAAAAACAUUGGAGAAAGCAACGUAAAACAGAGGAGAACGACGUCGCUGCCGUCGCCGACGUCGCCAACUUCGGCCUUCAUUUUCGGUGUCCUCGGGCCUCCGUUCACAGCGAGGUUAGUACCGUUGGAACCCUUGUGACGUCCACAAUAAAACCCAUGUUCCGAAUCGUCGACCGCCGCCACUGCCGCCUUUGAAGCCGAUUUCCAGUCAACUCCGGCGACCGAUGGAGAAACGGAGUGCACCACGACGAUCCUUACCGCGAGGAGAGCAAUAGCCCUCAAUCAAUGUCAGUUUUGGACAAGUUUUGUCGGUGAGUUCCGCCGACCUACAAUUUGACUGUCUGAGUAAACUGUCGACUUUUUCGGGAAACGGACAGCGCCAAUGAGUUUCUGGCCGCGAAAGAAUAAAGAACUACUAUCUCUUUUGUGUCUCCGGCGACAAUUCCUUUGUCAACCACCGCGAACCACAACUUUCUCCGGCGACUCUUCGCCGACAAGCUUUCAGAACUUGGAUUUCGGUACGAAUAAUGGGAGCGCUUGGCGACGAAGCCAAAUAAUAAAAGGAAGCAAGACGACACGGGAAAGCAAAGAUGUGAUCGAAAUGAAGUCACCGUUUAGGAAGAAAAUUGGCUAAGGGCGUUAUCAAGUGGUAGUGGAGUGGAUAUUUUCACAUGACUAUCCCGUCUUGCGAGAUGUUAUCAAGUGACAGUGGAGUGGAUAUUUUCACAUGACUAUCCCGUCCUUCGAGGCGUUACUUAGUGACAGUGGACUGAAUAUUUUCACAGGACUGUCCCGUCUUGCGAGACGUUAUCAAGUGGCAGUGGAGUGGAUGUUUUCACAUGACUGUCCCGUCCUUUGAGGCGUUAUCAAGUGGUAGUGGAGUGGAUAUUUUCACAGGACUGUCCCGUCUUGCGAGACGUUAUUGUUUGAUUGAUGUUGUUGAGGAUUGUCGAUAUCUGAUUUGAUGUUAUAUUGUUGAGGAUCAUUGAUAUCUGAUUUGUUGUUAUAUUGUUGAGGAUUGAUGAUAUCUGAUUUGAUGUUAUAUUGUUGAGGAUUAUUGAUAUCAGCUGAUUUGUCGUUAUAUUGUUGAGGAUUGUUGAUAUCUGAUUUGAUGUUAUGUUGUUGACGUUAUUGUUAUCUGAAUUAACCUAUGUUGUUAAGUUAUUGAUUCCUGAGUUAGUUUAUGUUGUUAAGUUUUGUUGGUAUCUGUUUUAAAACCAUAUCGUUGAUUUUGCUGAUAUACUGAUAUGUUUAAUUCUGUUAAAUAUAUGAUUCGAUUUCAUGAUUUAUAGGGUGAGUUGUCAUCUAUCCUGAAUUAAAUUGGUAGCUUACUUACCAUGGCAUGUAUUAGAUUUGAAUAACAUGCUUUUCUCUUUUAUACGUGGUAAUUGCAUGGAGUUAACCCUUUCUGUUUGCUACUUGUUGUUUGGGCGCUUAACGC